This 484-nucleotide ribosomal RNA is filed under the name uncultured bacterium. RNAcentral describes it as "partial 16S ribosomal RNA". It matches the Rfam family "Bacterial small subunit ribosomal RNA", at positions 30 to 507 of the family's 1533-position model. The record is from RNAcentral.
AUUGAACGCUGGCGGCAGGCCUAACACAUGCGAGUCGAGCGGAUGAAGGGAGCUUGCUCCUGGAUUCAGCGGCGGACGGGUGAGUAAUGCCUAGGAAUCUGCCUGGUAGCGGGGGAUAACGUCCGGAAACGGGCGCUAAUACCGCAUACGUCCUGAGGGAGAAAGUGGGGGAUCUUCGGACCUCACGCUAUCAGAUGAGCCUAGGUCGGAUUAGCUAGUUGGUGGGGUAAAGGCCUACCAAGGCGACGAUCCGUAACUGGUCUGAGAGGAUGAUCAGUCACACUGGAACUGAGACACGGUCCAGACUCCUACGGGAGGCAGCAGUGGGGAAUAUUGGACAAUGGGCGAAAGCCUGAUCCAGCCAUGCCGCGUGUGUGAAGAAGGUCUUCGGAUUGUAAAGCACUUUAAGUUGGGAGGAAGGGCAGUAAGUUAAUACCUUGCUGUUUUGACGUUACCAACAGAAUAAGCACCGGCUAACUUCGUG